RNAcentral lists this ribosomal RNA (253 nucleotides) under uncultured bacterium. RNAcentral describes it as "partial 16S ribosomal RNA". It matches the Rfam family "Bacterial small subunit ribosomal RNA", at positions 524 to 776 of the family's 1533-position model. The record is from RNAcentral.
UACGUAGGGUGCGAGCGUUAAUCGGAAUUACUGGGCGUAAAGCGUGCGCAGGCGGCUUCGCAAGUCAGACGUGAAAUCCCCGGGCUUAACCUGGGAAUGGCGUUUGAAACUACGGAGCUGGAGUGUGGCAGAGGGAGGUAGAAUUCCACGUGUAGCGGUGAAAUGCGUAGAUAUGUGGAGGAACACCGAUGGCGAAGGCAGCCCCCUGGGCUAACACUGACGCUCAUGCACGAAAGCGUGGGGAGCAAACAGG